This 1115-nucleotide long non-coding RNA is filed under the name Monodelphis domestica (gray short-tailed opossum). Its description in RNAcentral is "lncRNA (ENSMODG00000039600.1)". Lineage: Eukaryota; Metazoa; Chordata; Mammalia; Didelphimorphia; Didelphidae. The record is from RNAcentral.
CCAAGUUUUUCAUGAACAAUGGGUACAAGGGUAUGUCCUUAAACUGCUUAAGUCAUAAGAGGUCAUAAGAGGCAGCUCCAGAAUUACCCGUAGUGAGCAGUUACCAUGCAUAGCUGGUUUCUCUUUGCCAGAAUUAUCAGUUAUUAUUAAAAGUGAGGGGAUAGAGUUGCAUUGUAUUAUUAGGAAGUUAUAGUUAUCUGAGCAAUUCAAGGGAGGAGCCCUGGGGCUGGAGGUGGGAGGGGAAAGAAAGCAGAAUAGAGAGUAUUCGGGUCAGGAUCAAGAAGAAAAAACUGGAAAUGCUAUUGCCCUGGGAGUACACUGCCACUUAAACUGAAGGAACAAACUGGCAUGAAGACAAGCUACAGUAAAAAUGAAAAAUUUAAAUGAUUCCGAACUGCAGUGGUUCUUCAUUUCUGCGAAGAGUGUGGAGUUCAUAAACACUCGAUUUGCCUUGGUGAUCAUUAAACUCUUCAAAAAAGUGGAGUGAGUGGAGGAAACCUGGACUCUGGGCUUGUUUUGGAUCAACAAGGAGGAACUGGUUGCUAAAGUAGAAGUUAUGGGAAACUCAGGGGCAGCUAGGUGCUUCAGUGUAUUGAGAGCCAGAUCUACAGUGGGGAGAACCUGGCUUCAAAUCUGAACUCCAACACUACUUACUACCUGUGGGAUCUUGGGCAACUCAUUUAACCCCAAUUGCCUCACCUUUACUGUUCUUUUGCUUUAGAAUGGUUAGUUGUAUUGAUUCUAAGACAGAAGGUAAGAGUUUUAUCCUUUUUUUUAGGAAAAAAAUUUGGGGAGGCUUGAGAAGAAGACAUAAUUCUAUCCAUGAAUUCAUAAUGGAAGAGGAAAGGAAAGGUGAUCAAGGAAAAGAAACUGUAUGCCCCAAAAUAUUUCUAGCAGUUCUUUUUGUGAUAUCAAAGAAAUGGAAACUAAAGGAUAUCUAUCAAUUGGAGAAUGGCUGAACAAGUUGUGGUAUAUAAUUAUAUUGGAAUACUACUGUGCCAUAAGAAAUGGCAGACAAAAUGAUCACAAAAAAUCUGGAAAGUGGUGCAAAGUGAUGUAAGCAGAACCAGGACAGUAUUGUACACAGUAAGACAAUAAAGUAUGAUUAUCAAACA